RNAcentral lists this ribosomal RNA (407 nucleotides) under uncultured bacterium. RNAcentral describes it as "partial 16S ribosomal RNA". It matches the Rfam family "Bacterial small subunit ribosomal RNA", at positions 28 to 526 of the family's 1533-position model. The record is from RNAcentral.
GACGAACGCUGGCGGCGUGCCUAAUACAUGCAAGUCGACCUUAGUGGCGGACGGGUGAGUAACGCGUAGGAACCUGCCUAUUAGAGGGGGAUAACUAUUGGAAACGAUAGCUAAUACCGCAUACUAGUAGAUGGACCUGCGGUGCAUUAGCUAGUUGGUGAGGUAACGGCUCACCAAGGCCACGAUGCAUAGCCGACCUGAGAGGGUGAUCAGUCACACUGGAACGGAGACACGGUCCAGACUCCUACGGGAGGCAGCAGGGGGGAAUAUUGGACAAUGGGCGAAAGCCUGAUCCAGCCAUGCCGCGUGUGUGAAGAAGGUCUUCGGAUUGUAAAGCACUUUAAGUUGGGAGGCGUUACCAACAGAAUAAGCACCGGCUAACUUCGUGCCAGCAGCCGCGGUAAUUC